This is a long non-coding RNA of Prunus persica (peach), 132 nucleotides long. RefSeq lists it as uncharacterized. The transcript is spliced from 2 exons. NCBI's taxonomy places the organism in Eukaryota, Viridiplantae, Streptophyta, Magnoliopsida, Rosales, Rosaceae. The record is from RefSeq and is a predicted model, not a curated record.
GGAGAGGAAAAGGAAGAGGAGGGGAUUGAAGGAGAGGAAAAGGAAGAGGAGGGGAUUGAAGGGGGUGAAGUGCAAGGAAAACCAAGUGAGGUAGAGGAAGGGCAAAGGAAAAGAAGUGAAGGAGAGCAAGUG